RNAcentral lists this ribosomal RNA (497 nucleotides) under uncultured bacterium. RNAcentral describes it as "partial 16S ribosomal RNA". It matches the Rfam family "Bacterial small subunit ribosomal RNA", at positions 28 to 507 of the family's 1533-position model. The record is from RNAcentral.
GAUGAACGCUGGCGGCGUGCCUAAUACAUGCGAGUCGAGCGAACGGACGAGAAGCUUGCUUCUCUGAUGUUAGCGGCGGACGGGUGAGUAACACGUGGAUAACCUACCUAUAAGACUGGGAUAACUUCGGGAAACCGGAGCUAAUACCGGAUGAUAUUUUGAACGGCAUGGUUCAAAAGUGAAAGACGGUCUUGCUGUCACUUAUAGAUGGAUCCGCGCUGCAUUAGCUAGUUGGUAAGGUAACGGCUUACCAAGGCAACGAUGCAUAGCUGACCUGAGAGGGUGAUCAGCCACACUGGAACUGAGACACGGUCCAGACUCCUACGGGAGGCAGCAGUAGGGAAUCUUCCGCAAUGGGCGAAAGCCUGACGGAGCAACGCCGCGUGAGUGAUGAAGGUCUUCGGAUCGUAAAACUCUGUUAUUAGGGAAGAACAUAUGUGUAAGUAACUGUGCACAUCUUGACGGUACCUAAUCAGAAAGCCACGGCUAACUACGUG